Molecule: ribosomal RNA, 253 nt
Filed under: uncultured bacterium
Lineage: Bacteria
Description: partial 16S ribosomal RNA
Rfam family: Bacterial small subunit ribosomal RNA
Source: RNAcentral
UACGAAGGGGGCUAGCGUUGCUCGGAAUCACUGGGCGUAAAGCGCACGUAGGCGGACUCUUAAGUCGGUGGUGAAAUCCUGGAGCUCAACUCCAGAACUGCCUUCGAUACUGGGAGUCUCGAGUCCGGGAGAGGUGAGUGGAACUGCGAGUGUAGAGGUGAAAUUCGUAGAUAUUCGCAAGAACACCAGUGGCGAAGGCGGCUCACUGGCCCGGUACUGACGCUGAGGAGCGAAAGCUAGGGGAGCAAACAGG